This 435-nucleotide ribosomal RNA is filed under the name uncultured Flavobacterium sp. RNAcentral describes it as "bacterial SSU rRNA". It matches the Rfam family "Bacterial small subunit ribosomal RNA", at positions 358 to 790 of the family's 1533-position model. The record is from RNAcentral. Lineage: Bacteria; Pseudomonadati; Bacteroidota; Flavobacteriia; Flavobacteriales; Flavobacteriaceae.
GGAAUAUUGGACAAUGGGCGCAAGCCUGAUCCAGCCAUGCCGCGUGCAGGAUGACGGUCCUAUGGAUUGUAAACUGCUUUUGCACAGGAAGAAACAACGCUACGUGUAGCGUCUUGACGGUACUGUGAGAAUAAGGAUCGGCUAACUCCGUGCCAGCAGCCGCGGUAAUACGGAGGAUCCAAGCGUUAUCCGGAAUCAUUGGGUUUAAAGGGUCCGUAGGCGGUUUAGUAAGUCAGUGGUGAAAGCCCAUCGCUCAACGGUGGAACGGCCAUUGAUACUGCUAAACUUGAAUUAUUAGGAAGUAACUAGAAUAUGUAGUGUAGCGGUGAAAUGCUUAGAGAUUACAUGGAAUACCAAUUGCGAAGGCAGGUUACUACUAAUGGAUUGACGCUGAUGGACGAAAGCGUGGGUAGCGAACAGGAUUAGAUACCCGAG